UGGAACUGCAUUUGAUACUGGCAAACUAGAGUAUGGUACAGGAAUGGGGAAUUUCUGGUGUAGCGGUGAAAUGCGUAGAGAUCAGAAGGAACACCAAUGGCGAAGGCAACAUUCUGGACCAAUACUGACACUGAGGGACGAAAGCGUGGGGAUCAAACAGGAUUAGAUACCCUGGUAGUCCACGCUGUAAACGAUGAGUACUAGCUGUUGGAUUCGGUGUAAAGGAUCUAGUGGCGUAGCUAACGCGUUAAGUACUCCGCCUGGGGACUACGGCCGCAAGGCUAAAACUCAAAGGAAUUGACGGGGACCCGCACAAGCGGUGGAGCAUGUGGUUUAAUUCGAUGCAACGCGAAGAACCUUACCUGGUCUUGACAUCCUGCGAACUUUCUAGAGAUAGAUUGGUGCCUUCGGGAACGCAGUGACAGGUGCUGCACGGCUGUCGUCAGCUCGUGUUGUGAAAUGUUGGGUUAAGUCCCGCAACGAGCGCAACCCCUAUUGAUAGUUACCAUCAUUAAGUUGGGUACUCUAUUGAGACUGCCGCUGACAAGGCGGAGGAAGGUGGGGACGACGUCAAGUCAUCAUGGCCCUUACGACCAGGGCUACACACGUGCUACAAUGGGUAUUACAGAGGGCAGCGAAGUAGCGAUAUGGAGCGAAACUCAGAAAGGUACUCUUAGUCCGGAUUGCAGUCUGCAGCUCGACUGCAUGAAGUCGGAAUCGCUAGUAAUCGCAGGUCAGAAUACUGCGGUGAAUACGUUCCCGGGUCUUGUACACACCGCCCGUCACACCAUGGGAGUGGGUUGCUC
This 806-nucleotide ribosomal RNA is filed under the name uncultured bacterium. RNAcentral's name for it is "bacterial SSU rRNA". It matches the Rfam family "Bacterial small subunit ribosomal RNA", at positions 616 to 1420 of the family's 1533-position model. The record is from RNAcentral.